Molecule: ribosomal RNA, 479 nt
Filed under: uncultured bacterium
Lineage: Bacteria
Description: bacterial SSU rRNA
Rfam family: Bacterial small subunit ribosomal RNA
Source: RNAcentral
AUUGAACGCUGGCGGCAGGCCUAACACAUGCAAGUCGAGCGGUAGAGAGGUGCUUGCAUCUCUUGAGAGCGGCGGACGGGUGAGUAAUGCCUAGGAAUCUGCCUAGUGGUGGGGGAUAACGUUCGGAAACGGACGCUAAUACCGCAUACGUCCUACGGGAGAAAGCGGGGGGAUCUUCGGACCUCGCGCCAUUAGAUGAGCCUAGGUCGGAUUAGCUAGUUGGUGAGGUAAUGGCUCACCAAGGCGACGAUCCGUAACUGGUCUGAGAGGAUGAUCAGUCACACUGGAACUGAGACACGGUCCAGACUCCUACGGGAGGCAGCAGUGGGGAAUAUUGGACAAUGGGCGAAAGCCUGAUCCAGCCAUGCCGCGUGUGUGAAGAAGGUCUUCGGAUUGUAAAGCACUUUAAGUUGGGAGGAAGGGUAGGUAACCUAAUACGUUGCUACUUGACGUUACCGACAGAAUAAGCACCGGCUAAC